Molecule: long non-coding RNA, 2774 nt
Filed under: Hordeum vulgare
Lineage: Eukaryota; Viridiplantae; Streptophyta; Magnoliopsida; Poales; Poaceae
Description: long non-coding RNA (HVUL_LNC020260)
Source: RNAcentral
UCUAGGCCGUGCCCGCGGUGUCCCGCCAUAUCUCCUUCGGUUCUGCAGUCGUGUCUCCUCGUCGACGGCCUGCUUCCCUUCGGCGCUCCUCCUCCCCGUUCGGCGUCCCAUCUUCCCCCAAGGUGAGGCCGCGUCCUCCUCCUUCCUUCCUCCUCCGCGGUCCGGCUCGUUCCCGGCGUGGCGCGUGCCUCUCUNNNNNNNNNNNNNNNNNNNNNNNNNNNNNNNNNNNNNNNNNNNNNNNNNNNNNNNNNNNNNNNNNNNNNNNNNNNNNNNNNNNNNNNNNNNNNNNNNNNNNNNNNNNNNNNNNNNNCGCGCGUGCCUCUCUGUUCCCUAGCAGCGGUUUAGUAGGAUGCAGUAGCGCGGCUUGUUCUGCAGUGCAGAGUGUGUGCGUGCCAGCGCCGCGCAGAGGGGCUUCCUCCCCCUCGUGGUAGCUGCCAUGGCCAGGCUGGAUCCCUCGCCGUGUUGAGCCGUAUUGAGUCCCCAUCGCGUCUUCUCUGUUACCGGCGAGCAGCAGAUUUCGCAGGGCAUAGCAGUCAGUCGGGAGUGUUAGCUCACCUAGUUUCAGACUCUCUUCUCUGUCAGUAGACGAGUCAUAGCCGAGUGGUAACUAGCAUGGUGCGCCUGUAAGAGGGCGUGGGUUCGAGUCCCCCCCUCGGCGCCUUUUGUUCCUUGUUUUGAUUUAUUCCUGCAGGUGAUUACCUUGUCCUUUUUUCCUUCUCCUGUUAACAUCAGUAACAGCAGCGCAGUGGUAGAUGGUGUUUGUGUUAUCGUCAGGUGCAGGGUUCGAAUCCCAUGCGUUGCACCCCCUUUUUAUCUUGCUUGUUUUCCUUUCUGAUUUGCAGUAGGGCAGCACAACAGAGUUAACCUCUGUUUGGGUCCUUCUCUAUCGAGCCCAGGGGCAUAGCAGAGUGGUUGGGUGCAGUAGAGAGCAUCAGGAGGUUCAGGGUUCAAAUCCUGACCCCUCUUGCUAUUGUGUUCUGUCCUUGUUGUUUUUUUUUCCUUCUACUACAUUUUUUUUAAAACACCCUUCUUACUACUGCUGAUCUUGUGCCUACCAAAGGUGGCCAUGGAAUUAUGUAUUUUUUUUCUCCUUGCUGUCAUAGUUGUGCUAGGUGAUGUAGUGUGUGUGGUUGUGCUUGUGAAAGAUGUGCAUGUGAGUGUGUUUCCCUUGUGCUUGGAGUGGGCUCUUGCACCAUGUGGGGCUAGUAGAUUGUGAUGUGUGUGCAUUAGCUUGUGGUAGCUCUAGUAUAGAGAUGUGUGUGAGAGCCUCACCCAUGGCAAGGCUUGAAGAGCAUUGAUGUGCUCAUGAGUGGUAGUGUGUGGUGUUGUCGGAUUCAUUUAGGGAGUGUAGCUAUUGUAUGCUCUAACUAGUUCUAGUAGGACUAGAUUUGUGUCAUGUUAGAUAUGUGGGUGGUGUGGACCUCCCCACCUUUACAAGUGGUGCACCUCCUCAUGUUUCAUAUGAGAGAGGGCAUAUUGUGUGUGUGGGGUUGGCUCAUGUGUGUUGGGGUUGUUGGUGUGUAUGACACAAACAUGGGGUUCAAACCCCCAUGUCACUUUGUCAUUGUGCACAUGAAACCCUCCUAUGUAUUGUCCUCUUAGAAGAAUACCAUAUGGAUUUGCAUUUUUAUGUUGUUGAAAGUUUGGGCUUUGUUUCCAUGAUAUAGAUGGAGCCCAAAAGCAUGGAUCUUGGUAGGUUAGUUGUAGGGGUUUGUGCUCAAUACCAUAGUGGUGUCAAACACCUCUUGGGAACUUGUGUGUGCAAACUAUGCCUAGACAAAGUGGGCAUGUGGUUGGAAAAUUCCAGAUUUUUUGAACCCUGAAAAUUUCACUAAGUCUGGAAUGCUGAAAACAUUUUCUUCCCCUGUAGAUAAGGUUGUUCUGGUCAUUGUGGUGGAAACUGGACUUAGUGCACUGCUGGUGUUUUGAACCUGGUAUGUUUGUGAAGCUUCCUGUCAAUUUUCAAGUCAUUUGGUGUCCAGUAGCUUGUGUUUUGAUUGCUGUCAAAAAGCUUCAGAACAGAAACAGUAACUCAGGUGCAGGAAUUUUCACUAAGUCCCUGAGAACUGAUGGUUUUGGGAAAGUUUGUGGCCUUGUAUCUUCUAGAGUUUAAUUCCUUUUGCUGUGAUUCUUGCUGGAUAUGGUAGUGUUCUUGGUUGGCAACAGCCACAUAUAUUAUUUGUCAUGUUUGAAGACCUGUAGCUAUGUUGCAUGUUGCUCUCAAACAGCUAAAAUGCAGAAACUGGGCAGAUUGCGUAGUUUUGACAUUUUGUUCAAAGUUUGCGUUUAAUUGUUGUUGGAGUGUUCUACCUUGCUCCAUUUCAUUCAUGUUGGGUUCAUAUAUGUCUUGGCAACCUGGGAACACCAGAUUUGUGCCAAUUGUGUGUGUGGUGAUGAAUCUUUCACGUAGGGCUUCAUAUCGUGUUUCGUUGUUUCCCGUUGAUCCGUAGCUCCGUUUGCAAAGUUCUUUAUAUGGUUUUGCACCGUUUUUAAGAGAUGCAUCUGUUCAUUUCAUUACCAUGCAUGUACAAAUAGUUUAGUGCAAAGUUCUGUCCAGGAACUCGUUGUAGUUUAUCUUGCUUGUGCUAGUGUUAGAAAUAGUGGUGCAUGCUCAACUUUCAUCUCAUGCAUCAUGUGAUUGUUGCAUUUUGUGGAGCUGCUGUUCAUUGGCUGUUAUUCUUGUGUUGGGUAGCACCGGGAGCGGAGACCGAUUACGUGGAGUCAGGAGAGUACUUGCAGGACGAUCCAGAACCAUUCCAAGCUGAGGAUAUCAC